This 406-nucleotide ribosomal RNA is filed under the name uncultured bacterium. RNAcentral's name for it is "partial 16S ribosomal RNA". It matches the Rfam family "Bacterial small subunit ribosomal RNA", at positions 30 to 526 of the family's 1533-position model. The record is from RNAcentral.
AUUGAACGCUAGCGGCAUGCCUAACACAUGCAAGUCGAACGAGUGGCGGACGGGUGAGUAAUGUCUGGGAAACUGCCUGAUGGAGGGGGAUAACUACUGGAAACGGUAGCUAAUACCGCAUACCAUCGGAUCGGCCCAGAUGGGAUUAGCUAGUAGGUGGGGUAAAGGCUCACCUAGGCGACGAUCCCUAGCUGGUCUGAGAGGAUGACCAGCCACACUGGGACUGAGACACGGUCCAGACUCCUACGGGAGGCAGCAGUGGGGAAUAUUGGACAAUGGGCGCAAGCCUGAUGCAGCCAUGCCGCGUGUAUGAAGAAGGCCUUCGGGUUGUAAAGUACUUUCAGCGGGGAGGCGUUACCCGCAGAAGAAGCACCGGCUAACUCCGUGCCAGCAGCCGCGGUAAUUC